RNAcentral lists this ribosomal RNA (550 nucleotides) under uncultured bacterium. RNAcentral describes it as "bacterial SSU rRNA". It matches the Rfam family "Bacterial small subunit ribosomal RNA", at positions 93 to 639 of the family's 1533-position model. The record is from RNAcentral.
GAGUGGCGAACGGGUGAGUAAUACAUCGGAACGUGCCCAAUCGUGGGGGAUAACGCAGCGAAAGCUGUGCUAAUACCGCAUACGAUCUACGGAUGAAAGCAGGGGACCGCAAGGCCUUGCGCGAAUGGAGCGGCCGAUGGCAGAUUAGGUAGUUGGUGGGGUAAAGGCUCACCAAGCCAACGAUCUGUAGCUGGUCUGAGAGGACGACCAGCCACACUGGGACUGAGACACGGCCCAGACUCCUACGGGAGGCAGCAGUGGGGAAUUUUGGACAAUGGGCGCAAGCCUGAUCCAGCCAUGCCGCGUGCAGGAUGAAGGCCUUCGGGUUGUAAACUGCUUUUGUACGGAACGAAAAGUCUCUUUCUAAUAAAGAGGGAUCAUGACGGUACCGUAAGAAUAAGCACCGGCUAACUACGUGCCAGCAGCCGCGGUAAUACGUAGGGUGCAAGCGUUAAUCGGAAUUACUGGGCGUAAAGCGUGCGCAGGCGGUGAUGUAAGACAGUUGUGAAAUCCCCGGGCUCAACCUGGGAACUGCAUCUGUGACUGCAUC